CCCAGACAGCCAGGAUGUUGGCUUAGAAGCAGCCAUCAUUUAAAGAAAGCGUAAUAGCUCACUGGUCGAGUCGGCCUGCGCGGAAGAUGUAACGGGGCUAAACCAUGCACCGAAGCUGCGGCAGCGACACUGUGUGUUGUUGGGUAGGGGAGCGUUCUGUAAGCCUGUGAAGGUGGCCUGUGAGGGUUGCUGGAGGUAUCAGAAGUGCGAAUGCUGACAUAAGUAACGAUAAAGCGGGUGAAAAGCCCGCUCGCCGGAAGACCAAGGGUUCCUGUCCAACGUUAAUCGGGGCAGGGUGAGUCGACCCCUAAGGCGAGGCCGAAAGGCGUAGUCGAUGGGAAACGGGUUAAUAUUCCCGUACUUGGUGUUACUGCGAAGGGGGGACGGAGAAGGCUAUGUUGGCCGGGCGACGGUUGUCCCGGUUUAAGCGUGUAGGCUGGUUUUCCAGGCAAAUCCGGAAAAUCAAGGCUGAGGCGUGAUGACG
Molecule: ribosomal RNA, 484 nt
Filed under: Salmonella enterica subsp. enterica serovar Kentucky
Lineage: Bacteria; Pseudomonadati; Pseudomonadota; Gammaproteobacteria; Enterobacterales; Enterobacteriaceae
Description: partial 23S ribosomal RNA
Rfam family: Bacterial large subunit ribosomal RNA
Source: RNAcentral